Molecule: ribosomal RNA, 234 nt
Filed under: uncultured fungus
Lineage: Eukaryota; Fungi
Also listed under: 1 other name
Description: partial 18S ribosomal RNA
Rfam family: Eukaryotic small subunit ribosomal RNA
Source: RNAcentral
UUGGAGGGCAAGUCUGGUGCCAGCAGCCGCGGUAAUUCCAGCUCCAAUAGCGUAUAUUAAAGUUGUUGCAGUUAAAAAGCUCGUAGUUGAAUUUCGGGAUCAGUAUGUUGGUCGUGCUUCGGUACGUACUGUCAUUACUGGUUUCUCCCUUCUGAAGAACCUUGAUGUCAUUAAUUUGGUGUCUUGGGGAAUCAGGACUGUUACUUUGAAAAAAUUAGAGUGUUUAAAGCAGGC